CCUACGGGAGGCAGCAGUGAGGAAUAUUGGUCAAUGGUCGGGAGACUGAACCAGCCAAGCCGCGUGAGGGAUGAAGGUACAGAGUAUCGUAAACCUCUUUUGUCAGGGAACAAAGGCGGGGACGUGUCCCCGGAUGAGUGUACCUGACGAACAAGCAUCGGCUAACUCCGUGCCAGCAGCCGCGGUAAUACGGAGGAUGCGAGCGUUAUCCGGAUUUAUUGGGUUAAAAGGGUGCGCAGGCGGUCUGUUAAGUCAGCGGUCAAAGCCCGGGGCUCAACCCCGGCCCGCCGUUGAAACUGGCAGUCUAGAGUUGGAGAGAAGUAUGCGGAAUGCGCGGUGUAGCGGUGAAAUGCAUAGAUAUCGCGAAGAACUCCGAUUGCGAAGGCAGCAUGCCGGAUCCACACUGACGCUGAGGCACGAAAGCGUGGGUAUCGAACAGGAUUAGAUACCCCUGUAGUC
RNAcentral lists this ribosomal RNA (459 nucleotides) under uncultured bacterium. RNAcentral describes it as "partial 16S ribosomal RNA". It matches the Rfam family "Bacterial small subunit ribosomal RNA", at positions 338 to 795 of the family's 1533-position model. The record is from RNAcentral.